RNAcentral lists this ribosomal RNA (468 nucleotides) under uncultured bacterium. Its description in RNAcentral is "partial 16S ribosomal RNA". It matches the Rfam family "Bacterial small subunit ribosomal RNA", at positions 28 to 507 of the family's 1533-position model. The record is from RNAcentral.
GACGAACGCUGGCGGCGUGCUUAACACAUGCAAGUCGAACGGAAAGGCCCUGCUUUUGUGGGGUGCUCGAGUGGCGAACGGGUGAGUAACACGUGAGUAACCUGCCCUUGACUUUGGGAUAACUUCAGGAAACUGGGGCUAAUACCGGAUAGGAGCUCCUGCUGCAUGGUGGGGGUUGGAAAGUUUCGGCGGUUGGGGAUGGACUCGCGGCUUAUCAGCUUGUUGGUGGGGUAGUGGCUUACCAAGGCUUUGACGGGUAGCCGGCCUGAGAGGGUGACCGGCCACAUUGGGACUGAGAUACGGCCCAGACUCCUACGGGAGGCAGCAGUGGGGAAUAUGGCACAAUGGGCGGAAGUCUGAUGCAGCAACGCCGCGUGCGGGAUGACGGCCUUCGGGUUGUAAACCGCUUUCGCCUGUGACGAAGCGUGAGUGACGGUAAUGGGUAAAGAAGCACCGGCUAACUACGUG